UACGUAGGGGGCUAGCGUUAUCCGGAACUACUGGGCGUAAAGGGUGCGUAGGUGGUUUCUUAAGUCAGAGGUGAAAGGCUACGGCUCAACCGUAGUAAGCCUUUGAAACUGGGAAACUUGAGUGCAGGAGAGGAGAGUGGAAUUCCUAGUGUAGCGGUGAAAUGCGUAGAUAUAUGGAGGAACACCGGUGGCGAAAGCGGCUCUCUGGCCUGUAACUGACACUGAGGCUCGAAAGCGUGGGGAGCAAACAGG
Molecule: ribosomal RNA, 252 nt
Filed under: uncultured bacterium
Lineage: Bacteria
Description: partial 16S ribosomal RNA
Rfam family: Bacterial small subunit ribosomal RNA
Source: RNAcentral